AGCAGCCGCGGUAAUUCCAGCUCCAAUAGCGUAUAUUAAAGUUGUUGCAGUUAAAAAGCUCGUAGUUGAAUUUUGGGUUUGGCCAAUUGGUCCGUUCUUGUAACGAGUACUGGUUGGUUGGGCCUCACCGCCUGGUGAUACGUAAUGUCCUUUAUUGGGUGUUGCGAGUAGCCAGGACCUUUACCUUGAAAAAAUUAGAGUGUUUAAAGCAGGCUUAUGCCGGAAUACAUUAGCAUGGAAUAAUAGAAUAGGACGAUGAUUCUAUUUUGUUGGUUUCUAGGAGCAUCGUAAUGAUUAAUAGGGAUAGUUGGGGGCAUUAGUAUUCAAUUGUCAGAGGUGAAAUUCUUGGAUUUAUUGAAGACUAACUACUGCGAAAGCAUUUGCCAAGGAUGUUUUCAUUAAUCAAGAACGAAGUUAGGGGAUCGAAGACGAUCAGAUACCGUCGUAGUCUUAACCAUAAACCUAUGCCGACUAGGGAUCGGGCGAUGUUGUUUCAAUUGACUCGCUCGGCACCCUUAUG
This 520-nucleotide unclassified non-coding RNA is filed under the name uncultured Archaeospora. Its description in RNAcentral is "SSU rRNA". It matches the Rfam family "Eukaryotic small subunit ribosomal RNA", at positions 569 to 1093 of the family's 1831-position model. The record is from RNAcentral. Lineage: Eukaryota; Fungi; Glomeromycota; Glomeromycetes; Archaeosporales; Archaeosporaceae.